UUUUAAUGCGUAUGAAAGGAUAAAGGGAACGAAGCUUACAUGUCGGAGCAACUCUGGCGGUUCUUCAAGAUGUUGAUGUCGAUACAAAGAAGAUCCAAAGGCCUUCUACUUAUUCAGGUUAGCUUCGUUCUACUUUUCCGACUUGCGUAUGAAACUUCUUCUCUUCUUCUUCCCUCGUGUCCUAGUAUGUAGUUUGUGCUAUGGUUGUUGCUCUAUGUUGCAUGAGAGUGGGGAGGAUUCAGAGUGAAAUGAAGGUGUGUUGAAUUUGUAGAGAGGGAGAGAAAUAUCAGAUAAUUUGGAAUAGAUUGAGAAUGAUUGCAGGGAGAGUGAUUGUGAGUGAAGAUUAAUGUCAUUCUACAUUGUGAUUGUUGAUGAAUGAUUUUAUACAGAUGAUAAUGUAAUUGAUUCGGGUAGGAUUAGGGAAAGGUUUGUUUCACGUUAGGGCAACAAUUAGUAGUUAACUGAAUUUGUGAAGUUCAAUGAGAAAGUGUGUUAGUGAUGCUAACAAUGUUAAUGAUUUGUUAAUGUUAGUUGAAAUUAAGGUUAUGUCAGUAGGUUAUGUGGAAUUUAGAUGGGAUUGGUAUGUUUGAAUGAAUUGUGAGUUAGCCUGGACUUUAGAUGGCAUUUUGUUAGUUGAAGUUAGUCAUUUGUGUUGAUGUUAAAGAAAUGAAGUGAGGAAAGUUAGUAAAAUUGAAGUUAAGUAUGUUAAAUGUUGUGUGAUGUGUCUUGGUUUCUUUUUUGUAUGGUUAUGCAUGUGUAUACAACUGGUUAUGUGUUUUUAUGCAUGGGCAUUGAUGUAUGGUUUGAGUGUUAUGUUGAUGAGUUUGAACUAGGUAGUAGCUUGGCUUGUUGUAAUGUUUUGAAUUGAAUGAAGAAGUUUGUGAGUUCCUACUGUAUUGCAUCAGUUAGAUUAGAAAGAAUUUGAAAUGGUUAUUAUGUGAAUGCCUUACUGUUUUAAAAAAUGAAAUCGGUGUGUGGUUGCAAGUUUGGCAUAAAAUGGCUUGUUGUGAGGCAAAGCUCAUGAAGGUCUUGGCAUGAAACAAGACAUGGAGCAAGUCAUAGUUUAGUGAAGAAUUUUGAAGACUUGGUUGCACAAAGAAGGAAUGGCUUGUAAAUGAAGAAAAAUUGGGGACUAGGUCAUAGGAUUAGAUAGUUGACUUUGGUCAACUAUUUGACCAAAAAGUCAAUAGUUGACCAAAAGUCAACCCUAGGUCAAAACAUGUAAAAAUGUGUAAUAUUGUAAUUUGGAUUUUUCUAAUGUGAUUUGAUAUUUUGUAAUGAAAAUUGGCCCUUGAGUGGUAUAUGUGUGGC
This 1311-nucleotide long non-coding RNA is filed under the name Lathyrus oleraceus (garden pea). RNAcentral describes it as "Pisum sativum (pea) long non-coding RNA (PSAT_LNC006886)". The record is from RNAcentral. Lineage: Eukaryota; Viridiplantae; Streptophyta; Magnoliopsida; Fabales; Fabaceae.